CUAACAGUUUGAGAGAGGUAGUAACAAGAAAUAACAAUACAAGGCAGUUAAAAUGCUUUGUAAUUGGAAUGAUAGAAAUUUAAACCCUUUUUAAAGUAUCAAUUGGAGGGCAAGUCUGGUGCCAGCAGCCGCGGUAAUUCCAGCUCCAAUAGCGUAUAUUAAAAUUGUUGCAGUUAAAAAGCUCGUAGUUGAAGUUCUGCUAAAAGUAACCGGUCUGCUUUUAAUAAAGGUGGUAUCUUGGUGUGUAUUUAGCAAUGAUGUCCUUUGAAGUGUUUUUUACUUUAUUGUAAUAAAGCAUAUUCAGGACUUUUACUUUGAGAAAAUUAGAGUGUUUCUAGCAGGCUAACGCUUUGAAUACUGCAGCAUGGAAUAAUAAGAUAGGAUUUUAGUUCUACAUUAUUGGUUUUAAGAGCUAAAUUAAUGAUUGAUAGGGACAGUUGGGGGCAUUUGUAUUUAACUGUCAGAGGUGAAAUUCUUAGAUUUGUUAAAGACAAACUACUGCGAAAGCAUUUGCCAAAGAUGUUUUCAUUAAUCAAGAACGAAAGUUAGGGGAUCGAAGACGAUCAGAUACCGUCGUAGUCUUAACUAUAAACUAUGCCGACUAGAGAUUGGAGGUCGUCUUUAUAAACGAC
RNAcentral lists this ribosomal RNA (632 nucleotides) under Hepatozoon sp. RNAcentral's name for it is "SSU rRNA". It matches the Rfam family "Eukaryotic small subunit ribosomal RNA", at positions 451 to 1077 of the family's 1831-position model. Lineage: Eukaryota; Apicomplexa; Hepatozoidae. The record is from RNAcentral.